Tyto alba (common barn owl) is the source of this 2443-nucleotide RNA transcript. RefSeq lists it as uncharacterized. The transcript is spliced from 12 exons. NCBI's taxonomy places the organism in Eukaryota, Metazoa, Chordata, Aves, Strigiformes, Tytonidae. The record is from RefSeq and is a predicted model, not a curated record.
CUGGACUGGGGCAGCCCCAGGUGCAGCCGGUGAGGCUGCGGGUGGGGCCGGCCCCGCCGUGCCGAGGGGCUCCAGCUGGGAGUCGGGGGCGGGGGGGCUGCCCGCCCGCGGGAGCUGGCCGAGGAGCGGAAGAAAGAGAGUCUCAGCCGCGUCUGCCCGCGGCCAGGAGCGGCCGGUCCGUGCGGCGAGGAAGGAUUCCUCCCGGCCGGCCCCGACGGGGCGCAGCACCGGCGCCGGGAGCUCGGCGCCCCCGAGCCGCCGGGUGGCCGGGAAGCCUCGCGGGGGAGGCGCUCGGAGGCGCGUGCCGCCCGCCCCCGCGUGGGUGAGGGUCGGGCAGCCGGCGCUGCGGAGGUGGGAAGGGGCGGAGGCGGAGAGACGAGCCCCGGGGCUGCGAAAGCCUCGGGCCGGGGCCGGUACCGGGAGCUGCGGCGGGUCGCGCGUCCCCCCGGGCCGGUCCCGGCCGCGCUUCUCCAGCUGCCCGCCUGCUCCCGCCUCCGGCUGCCUUUCGGGCUGGCCGGGUCCCCGCAGCUUUCUGCUGUUCUGCCGACACCGCCCCGUCCCCCGUCGCCUUCUCCACGUCCUUUCCACGCCGCUCCCUUGCUGGCUCCCCAGCCGCCUGAAGCAUUUCAUUCCUUCCACGCUGCCGCCUUCCCUGUCGCUUGUGAAAAUCGCAUCGGAAGGUCUCCCUCUACCCGGCGACUCGUAUCUGUUCUCAGCAUCUCCCUGUCUCUCUCCCUCCCUCACUGAAAUCGCGUUUAGCGUUAACGAGCGGGCAUUGCUUUAUUUGGCCGGGGACGCAAGGGAAUCGUUCUGCCUAACAUGCUUGCUGUACGUUACGAUAGCCAAAGCUUAUAUUGCUCCGUUACGUGUCUAUUUAUCCAAUUUCCAAAAAGUCAUUACUGUAAUCACAUAAUUAUUAUGUGUGCAGUUUAGGUCUCUGAGGGACUUCCGCGGGGGUUGUCGGUGGUCUCUAGCCACCUCUGGUGGUCUUUGGAGAGCAUCCUUUCUUAUACUUGUCUACGGUUUGGAAUUGGUCUUUCUUUGGUUUAUGUUUGCACUUUCUUAUCUCCUGCCUAGCUUCAGCUAGUUUGUUCUUUUUCAGAGGGCCUUAAUCUUCAAGGACAAUGGCUCGCGAUUAGGAGUCUCCCGAUUUCCUCAUGGGGCCUCUCCACGUCUGCAUUUCCCGGGAGGCGUUUAUCACGCUCGCCUAGCUCAGGGACCUCUGCGUGACGGACAACGUGUUGCAGCAGAGACGGAGACCUCGUCCACAAGCAGACGCACCGUGUAGGACUCACCAGUUGCCAGGAAAGUCUCUCCGAUCCUUCGUCGUGACGGGGCUCCCCGGCUGAAGCAUGGAUCCAGGCGAUGGUAAAGCACAAGGACAAUCGGAAUGAGCACGGAUCCUUCAUCGGCAAUUGAGGAGAAGAGGAUUUUGUACAGUUUUGAGAUGGGAUGGCAAAGAGGAACCUAGCAACUGUGGGAAUAACCUGGUUACCCAGGGCGUUGUUUUGUCAAGGAUGGAUUCAGCCCCCCGGCACUGUAAAAGGUGACACACGUAGCCUCAGAAGGGUGAAGGAGCAUGCCGCUGAGCAAUCUGAGAAGGUGCCAAGUGAGCCACCUUUGGGAUCAUCUGAGCAUCCGAAAGCAGCCGGGGUAGUAGCAAGGACGAGCACGGAGUCGGUGACUUCUCACAAGCACAACGGUAAAUUUGUCUCUCGAUGGAUGAGAUGCGCACCAAAGAGUGACGGAGGAGGUGAGCGGAGGGCUGUGAGAAGAUGGAGAGCCACAAGCAAAGUAGGAUUUCGGCACCGGAGGCAGCUUGGGCGAGUGUGUUACAGGUGGCACACGAGCCUUGACGUGACAACUGGAAACAGCAGCGGCAGGGCAGGUGAAGGGCCGAGGUGCCGCGGAGGGGCCGAGCCGCACGCAGACCGACAGUCUGAGAAGGUGCUUUGGGAGUCGCCUUUGGGAUCGGAUGAGCGUUUGAAGCGAGCCGGGGUAGUCGCAAGGAGGAUCGUGGGUGACUCGUUAGAAGCGCAAGGGAAACUUUGUCUCUCGGUAUCUUAGGUAACGCCAGCGACGACGGCUGCAGCAUCUGACUCUGCAAAGAGCCGGUGAGCGGAACCCCGCGACGCUUCUGAGUAUAGGCGGGUGUCGUGGAAGAGGUAGGCACGGAGCAGCGCGAUGGCAACGGCCGGUUGUGUUUUCUCCCGUUGGUGUUUUCUUGCAGGUGAAGAGGAAGGCGUCAACUGCAGGAACGUGCUAGUUAGCUGCCGUGCUGCUUUUGUGGAGGAUGGAAUCGGACCUCCGGCCCUGUGAAAGCUAAGUCGAGCGAACGGGGCCGAGAGGAGGGGCCGAGGAUGUAGGCGGGGCUCAAUUUGACUACGUAGACUGGAUUUAAUGAAAACCUCUGUCAGGGGAAUAAACUUCUGUUUUUCCCGUC